UACGUAGGGGGCGAGCGUUGUCCGGAUUUAUUGGGCGUAAAGAGCGUGUAGGCGGCCAGGUAGGUCUGCUGUGAAAGCUCGAGGCUCAACCUCGAGACGUCGGCGGAAACCAUCUGGCUAGAGUCCGGAAGAGGAGAGUGGAAUUCCUGGUGUAGCGGUGAAAUGCGCAGAUAUCAGGAAGAACACCCGUGGCGAAGGCAGCUCGCUGGGACGGUACUGACGCUGAGACGCGAAAGCGUGGGGAGCGAACAGG
This 253-nucleotide ribosomal RNA is filed under the name uncultured bacterium. Its description in RNAcentral is "partial 16S ribosomal RNA". It matches the Rfam family "Bacterial small subunit ribosomal RNA", at positions 524 to 776 of the family's 1533-position model. The record is from RNAcentral.